AUUGGACGCCGGCGGUAUGCCUUACACAUGCAAGUCGAACGGCAGCACGGGUGCUUGCACCUGGUGGCGAGUGGCGAACGGGUGAGUAAUACAUCGGAACGUACCUUAUCGUGGGGGAUAACGCAGCGAAAGCUGAGCUAAUACCGCAUACGCCCUGAGGGGGAACGCGGGGGAUCGCAAGACCUCGCGCGAUUAGAGCGGCCGAUGCCUGAUUAGAUUGUGGGUGGGGUAAAAGCCCACCAAGGCGACGAUCAGUAGAUGGUCUGAGAGGACGAUCAGCCACACUGGGACUGAGACACGGCCCAGACUCAGACGGGAGGCAGCAGUGGGGAAUUUUGGACAAUGGGGGCACCCUGAUCCAGCAAUGCCGCGUGAGUGAAGAAGGCCUUCGGGUUGUAAAGCUCUUUUGUCAGGGAAGAAACACCGGCUCUAACACAGUCCGGGAAUGACGGUACCUGAAGAAUAAGCACCGGCUAACUACGUGCCAGCCGCCGCAGUAA
This 500-nucleotide ribosomal RNA is filed under the name uncultured bacterium. RNAcentral describes it as "partial 16S ribosomal RNA". It matches the Rfam family "Bacterial small subunit ribosomal RNA", at positions 29 to 523 of the family's 1533-position model. The record is from RNAcentral.